This 253-nucleotide ribosomal RNA is filed under the name uncultured bacterium. RNAcentral's name for it is "partial 16S ribosomal RNA". It matches the Rfam family "Bacterial small subunit ribosomal RNA", at positions 524 to 776 of the family's 1533-position model. The record is from RNAcentral.
UACGUAGGGGGCAAGCGUUGUCCGGAAUCAUUGGGCGUAAAGAGUGCGUAGGUGGUGCCCUAAGUCUGUUGUGAAAUCUCCCGGCUUAACUGGGAGGGUGCGGUGGAAACUGGGGUGCUUGAGUGUGGGAGAGGUAAGCGGAAUUCCUGGUGUAGCGGUGAAAUGCGUAGAUAUCAGGAGGAACACCGGUGGUGUAGACGGCUUACUGGACCACGACUGACACUGAGGCACGAAAGCGUGGGUAGCAAACAGG